This is a non-coding RNA of Mucidula mucida, 98 nucleotides long. Lineage: Eukaryota; Fungi; Basidiomycota; Agaricomycetes; Agaricales; Physalacriaceae. The record is from the annotation of a GenBank genome assembly.
ACACCGAUGGUGAAGCGGUUAUCAUGCUUGCCUUCCAUAUCAUGCGAAGAGAUACUGAGUUGGAGCAAGCGGCAGGGGUUCGACUCCCCUUCGGUGUA